GAUGAACGCUGACAGAAUGCUUAACACAUGCAAGUCUUUGGCGAAGCUGUGCUUGCACAGCCUAGCCAAGGCGGACGGGUGAGUAACGCGUAAGGAACUUGCCCUGCAGUCAGGGAUAACAGACGGAAACGACUGAUAAGACCUGGUAAAGUCAGGCGGACUCAUGUCCAGCCUGAUGAAAAGAGAUGCUGCAGGAGAGCCUUGCGUCCUAUUAGCUUGUUGGUGGGGUAACGGCCCACCAAGGCGAUGAUAGGUAGCCGGCCUGAGAGGGUGGACGGCCACAAGGGGACUGAGAUACGGCCUUACUCCUACGGGAGGCAGCAGUGGGGAAUAUUGGACAAUGGGGGCAACCCUGAUCCAGCAAUUCUGUGUGCACGAUGAAGGUUUUCGGAUUGUAAAGUGCUUUCAGCAGGGAAGAAAAAAAUGACGGUACCUGCAGAAGAAGCGACGGCUAAAUACGUG
RNAcentral lists this ribosomal RNA (462 nucleotides) under uncultured bacterium. Its description in RNAcentral is "partial 16S ribosomal RNA". It matches the Rfam family "Bacterial small subunit ribosomal RNA", at positions 28 to 507 of the family's 1533-position model. The record is from RNAcentral.